UCCCUGUGGCUUAGAUGGUAAAGAAUCUGCCUGCAAUGCAGGAGACCUGGGUUCGAUCCCUGGGUUGGGAA
This 71-nucleotide transfer RNA is filed under the name Muntiacus reevesi (Reeves' muntjac). It matches the Rfam family "tRNA". From Rfam's summary of the family: Transfer RNA (tRNA) molecules are approximately 80 nucleotides in length. Their secondary structure includes four short double-helical elements and three loops (D, anti-codon, and T loops). The record is from Rfam by way of RNAcentral. Lineage: Eukaryota; Metazoa; Chordata; Mammalia; Artiodactyla; Cervidae. RNAcentral also lists the same sequence under 2 other names.